This 84-nucleotide transfer RNA is filed under the name Bacteroidota bacterium. RNAcentral's name for it is "Bacteroidetes bacterium (marine metagenome) tRNA-Leu". It matches the Rfam family "tRNA". From Rfam's summary of the family: Transfer RNA (tRNA) molecules are approximately 80 nucleotides in length. Their secondary structure includes four short double-helical elements and three loops (D, anti-codon, and T loops). The record is from RNAcentral. RNAcentral also lists the same sequence under 2 other names. Lineage: Bacteria; Pseudomonadati; Bacteroidota.
GCCCGGAUGGUGGAAUUGGUAGACACGUCAGACUUAAAAUCUGAUGGCCGUAAGGCCGUGCGGGUUCAAUUCCCGCUCCGGGUA